UACAGAGGGUGCAAGCGUUAAUCGGAAUUACUGGGCGUAAAGCGCACGUAGGUGGUUUGUUAAGCCAGCUGUGAAAUCCCCGGGCUCAACCUGGGCACUGCAGUUGGAACUGGCAAGCUAGAGUAGGGUAGAGGGGUGUGGAAUUCCAGGUGUAGCGGUGAAAUGCGUAGAUAUCUGGAGGAACAUCAGUGGCGAAGGCGACACCCUGGACUCAUACUGACGCUCAGGCACGAAAGCGUGGGGAGCAAACAGG
Molecule: ribosomal RNA, 253 nt
Filed under: uncultured bacterium
Lineage: Bacteria
Description: partial 16S ribosomal RNA
Rfam family: Bacterial small subunit ribosomal RNA
Source: RNAcentral